GUGGUGGCAGCCCCUUUCAUCGGAGCGGAGCCGUCAACAUGCAGUGCCCCAGGGCUGCCUCUGGCGGGUGCCGGGAAUGCCGAGCGGUGUGGUCACCUGCAAGCUGGGGAAUCGAAAUGGGAAUAAUGAAGACGAAGGAAAUGCGACGAGGAUUGGUAUUCACGGAGCAGCACCUGUUUCCAGGCCUGUUUUUCAAUUUUUACAAUAGCCCCACGAGUUACGUACCAUUACCAUUUCCCAAAUGAGAAAAUCAAGGCACAGACAGGUCAAGUCCUUUGGCGGAGGGGAGCAGAGAAGUGUCACAGGGGUGGCAGUCACGCAGUCACCCAGGAGGGGCCCGGAAGGGGGUACUCAAGCUGAGACUGGAGCCCCCUCCCCCUCCGCAUGCGCCCAGACCAUGCCAGAUGUUUCCCAGCUGUGGACUGGUGCUCCCCGCAGACGCCGGCCCCAAGGCCCACCCUCGCCGGUGAGGCUUCCCGGAGGGAGCUGCGUUCGUCAGAGACGCUGGGAGCAGGCAGUGCAGAGAGCUCUGGCGUGCACAGGCGUGGGCGGACCGCGGCGAGGGCGCGAUCAGUUCCUUCCGAUCUCUUCUCGUGUCUGGGUCUGCUGGGCAUUCACUCAUCACUCCAAAAGAACAGCACCCAGCAUGCGCUCACACAGCCUUGUUCUGCACCCCAACUUUCACCAUGACUGGGGGGAAAGGAAGGGCUUCUAGCAAAAGCAGUCCUAGGGAAACCUAGGUGGAAAAAAAGCUUCCGGCUUGGAGUCCAGAGAGGGUUUCCUGCAUGGUGAGGGGAUUGGGCAGGCAGAUCACAGCACACAGGCCCCUCCAUCUGGUCCCCUGGCCCUGCCCUGCACACUGGGGCUCACAACCCUGUGGCCCCGGAAACGCCCUCUGCCCUCCCCGGAAGACGGAGUCUGCAGUUUUCCUUGAACACAGCACUUUGUGAUGAUGACGCAAACUUCAAAUGCAGCUCUUUCCUGUCUUUGAGUCGAGGAAGAGGUGCACAGCAGGCUGCUGGUGAGAGCCCGACACCAGGCCUUCUGGCCUCAGAGUUGCUGGGUGCCCAGGUGAGCGGCCAGCCUCGGCCUUCUGCCCAUACCCUGCCACCCUGGCCAUCCUAGGGGACCCCAGAGAGCCAGGCGGAGAGCGACCCUGCACCUCG
Molecule: long non-coding RNA, 1166 nt
Organism: Fukomys damarensis (Damara mole-rat)
Lineage: Eukaryota; Metazoa; Chordata; Mammalia; Rodentia; Bathyergidae
Exons: 3
Source: RefSeq, a predicted model, not a curated record